CUGCCCAGUUUGCUCAGCACAUUGAAGGCGUGCAAGCAUCAUCAUCCAAUGACACACUACUCUUACUUCGGGGGAGACUCAUCAUCCGACUUCAACUCUGACUACGGUAGUAGUUACGCCUACUCCUCGGGCGGGGGUACGGCAAGGAUUGGCCUUCGAACCGAGCCUACACGAUCUCUAAGCACAGGCCUACUGCUUCACCAGUUUACAUAACUGCACCUGGUG
Molecule: unclassified non-coding RNA, 225 nt
Filed under: Melitaea cinxia (Glanville fritillary)
Lineage: Eukaryota; Metazoa; Arthropoda; Insecta; Lepidoptera; Nymphalidae
Description: misc RNA ENSMCXG00005007417.1
Source: RNAcentral